GAGCGGGGGCUUCGGUCCUAGCGGCGAACGGGUGAGGAAUGCCUGGGAAUCUGCCUGGUAGUGGGGGAUAACGAUUCGAAAGGGUCGCUAAUACCGCAUACGUCCUACGGGAGAAAGCAGGGGACCUUCGGGCCUUGCGCUAUCAGAUGAGCCCAGGUCGGAUUAGCUAGUAGGUGAGGUAAAGGCUCACCUAGGCGACGAUCCGUAGCUGGUCUGAGAGGAUGAUCAGCCACACUGGAACUGAGACACGGUCCGGACUCCUACAGGAGGCAGCAGUGGGGAAUAUUGCGCAAUGGGCGAAAGCCUGACGCAGCCAUACCGCGUGUGUGAAGAAGGCCUUCGGGUUGUAAAGCACUUUCAGUGGGGAGGAAAAGCGGGUGGCUAAUAUCCAUCGGCCGUGACGCUACCCACAGAAGAAGCACCGGCUAAUUCCGUGCCAGCAGCCGCGGUAAUACGGAAGGUGCGAGCGUUAAUCGGAAUUACUGGGCGUAAAGCGCACGUAGGUGGCUUGGUAAGUCGGAUGUGAAAGCCCCGGGCUCAACCUGGGAACGGCAUUCGAUACUGCUGAGCUAGAGUACGAAAGAGGGGGGUGGAAUUCCAGGUGUAGCGGUGAAAUGCGUAGGGAUCUGGAGGAACACCGGUGGCGAAGGCGGCCCCCUGGUUCGAUACUGACGCUGAGAUGCGAAAGCGUGGGGAGCGAACGGGAUUAGAUACCCCGGUAGUCCACGCGGUAAACGAUGAAUACUGGGUGUAGGCGGGGUUAGAGCCGUCUGUGCCGAAGCAAACGCGUUAAGUAUUCCGCCUGGGGAGUACGGUCGCAAGGCUAAAACUCAAAGGAAUUGACGGGGGCCCGCACAAGCAGCGGAGCGUGUGGUUUAAUUCGAUGCGACACGAAGAACCUUACCUGGGUUUGACAUCCUUUGACAAUCCUAGAGAUAGGACUUUCCCUUCGGGGACAAAGUGACAGGUGGUGCAUGGUUGUCGUCAGCUCGGGUCGUGAGAUGUUGGGUUAAGUCCCGCAACGAGCGCAACCCCUAUCGUGUGUUGCUACCGGCUAGGCCGAGCACUCGCACGAGACUGCCGACGUUAAGUCGGAGGAAGGUGGGGAUGACGUCAAGUCCUCAUGGCCCUUAUGCCCAGGGCUACACACGUGCUACAAUGGCCGGUACAAAGAGUCGCGAGCUCGCAAGAGCAAGCCAAUCCCAAAAAACCGGUCUCAGUUCGGAU
Molecule: ribosomal RNA, 1227 nt
Filed under: uncultured bacterium
Lineage: Bacteria
Description: bacterial SSU rRNA
Rfam family: Bacterial small subunit ribosomal RNA
Source: RNAcentral